AAAAAAAAAAAAAGAAAAAAAAGAAAAAAAAUUGCCUCAGUAAGUCUGAAGAAGUUGCAAUGAAACUUCUUUCAAAGUUCGGUCUUGCAAAGGUUUGUUUCGAUCUAAUGUAAGCAGCAUUUAAAUGGAUACAGCCUUUCUGACACUAAACAAAUGAAAAAAAAAGGGCCUGCUUUUCUGACUGUUUCCUUUCCCCCUGUUCUUCCCAAUGACACGUGCAUCCGUGAAUGCUUUCACAUUGCACAAGAUCCAAACCACCACACAAAAGCACACGAAGUCCCUUCCCCACUUGGCACAGUCCCUCCCGACCCUCUGCAGAGGCAUCAGCUCAGCGCCUGGCUGUGCAUCCUCCCUGUGUUUUCCAAGUUUUUCAGAAAAACCUUGACAUUUUAGUAAAUGUUAAGGCUAAGAAUUGGGAAGUUUCUCUGUAAGAGAAGGGGAAGUGUUCUUGCUCUUUACAGCAUUUCACCCCCCAAACGGGAAGCAUCCUCUAAAUUGCUGAUCUAGUGCUCAGCCACUUCUUUCAGGCUCUUCUGCAUUUACCAUGAAAAUAGACUUUUCCUGGAAAAAAACACCCCACACCCCUUUAGGGGCGAAGGAACUCCACUACCAUUUACUAAGAGAUAUUAGAGCUGUGUUUGUCAGGAUACUGAAGUCCAAACUUCAGGGCUCCAUCCUUACACUGUCCCUUCAAAGACCCUGUCUCUAAUUUUGUAUUUCUUUCUUUCUUUCUUUCGUUUUGAGACGGAGUCUUGCUCUUGUCGCCCAGGCUGGAGUGCAGUGGUGCGAUCUCGGCUUACUGCAUCCUCUGCCUCCCGAGUUCAAGUGAUUCUGCUGCCUCAGCCUCCUGAGUAGCUGGGAUUACAGGUGCCCACCAUCACACCUGGCUAAUUUUUGUACUUCAGUAGAGAUGGGGUUUCAC
RNAcentral lists this long non-coding RNA (922 nucleotides) under Homo sapiens (human). RNAcentral describes it as "non-protein coding lnc-UBAC2-4:1". Lineage: Eukaryota; Metazoa; Chordata; Mammalia; Primates; Hominidae. The record is from RNAcentral.